This 391-nucleotide unclassified non-coding RNA is filed under the name soil metagenome. RNAcentral's name for it is "partial contains 5.8S ribosomal RNA, internal transcribed spacer 2, and large subunit ribosomal RNA". The stretch from base 1 to 122 matches the Rfam family "5.8S ribosomal RNA", at positions 35 to 154 of the family's 154-position model. The record is from RNAcentral.
GAUGAAGAACGCAGCGAAAUGCGAUACUUGGUGUGAAUUGCAGAAUCCCGUGAACCAUCGAGUCUUUGAACGCAAGUUGCGCCCGAAGCCACUAGGCCGAGGGCACGCCUGCCUGGGCGUCACACGCCGUUGCCCCCCCAUCUACUCCUUCGGGAUUGCGGGGGGGCGGAUGAUGGCCUCCUGUGCGCCUAGCCGCGCGGUUGGCAUAAAUACCAAGUCCUCGGCGACGCACGCCACGACAAUCGGUGGUUGCGAAACCUCGGUUGCCCGUCGUGUGCGUUCGUCGCGCAUCGAGGGCUCGAAAAAAUGCUCGGCUCCGGCUGGGCUUUCAACGCGACCCCAGGUCAGGCGGGGUUACCAGCUGAAUUUAAGCAUAUCAAUAAGCGGAGGA